CCUACGGGAGGCUGCAGUGAGGAAUAUUGGUCAAUGGGCGCGAGCCUGAACCAGCCAAGUAGCGUGAAGGAUGACUGCCCUACGGGUUGUAAACUUCUUUUAUCAAGGAAUAAAGUCAGGCACGUGUGCCUUGUUGUAUGUACUUUAUGAAUAAGGAUCGGCUAACUCCGUGCCAGCAGCCGCGGUAAUACGGAGGAUCCGAGCGUUAUCCGGAUUUAUUGGGUUUAAAGGGAGCGUAGGUGGAUUGGUAAGUCAGUUGUGAAAGGUUGCGGCUCAACCGUAAGAUGGCAGUUGAAACUGGCAGGCUGGAGUACAGUAGAGGUGAGCGGAAUUCGUGGUGUAGCGGUGAAAUGCUUAGAUAUCACGAAGAACUCCGAUUGCGAAGGCAGUUCACUGGACUGCAACUGACACUGAGGCUCGAAAGUGUGGGUAUCAAACAGGAUUAGAUACCCUUGUAGUC
This 460-nucleotide ribosomal RNA is filed under the name uncultured bacterium. RNAcentral describes it as "partial 16S ribosomal RNA". It matches the Rfam family "Bacterial small subunit ribosomal RNA", at positions 338 to 795 of the family's 1533-position model. The record is from RNAcentral.